ACAGUCACCAUCAUAGUACUUGGGCUGCAAAAGUAGUAAAAAAAAGCAGUCGAACAUAAAUCUUUCACAUGAAGAGUCAAAUAUAAGCAGAAGAAUAAAAUAUUUGUUCUGAACCAUCUUUUGCAGUCCUAUUUUUGGAGAACAUAACAUAAUGUGUUUCCAUCAUUAUUAAUGGUAUGAAGGAAUUCCUUAUGUUGAACAAUUGUGGUACCAUUUUCCCAUUUGUGUGUUGAAAGUAGGAUACAAUCCAAUUUAGAAAUAGUGAAAGUAAAUAUGCAUAAUAAUAGUAUUCCACUACACAAAUAUUUACGUGAUUCACUCUUCAAAUUAGGCUACGUUCACGGACAAGUAAAGAUCAACAUCAAUGAAUUAUAUUAGUCAUUUGGGGUCUCAAAGAAGUUUUACAGAAUAAGACAUCUCCUGCCAUAUCAUUUACUUCCAAAACUAACAUGUGGAAUAUGAGAAUUUAUUUAGUGCAAUCAUUGUAUGUGAACGGAUAUACUCUGAUCGUUGAUUAUUAUGGGACCCACAUGGAACUCACCAUGAUUAAUGAUCAUAAUACAAACCAUUGCACAAAUAACGGCCGUAUUUUAUUUUUUAUUUUUUUGUGGAAUAUG
RNAcentral lists this unclassified non-coding RNA (617 nucleotides) under Hevea brasiliensis (rubber tree). The record is from RNAcentral. Lineage: Eukaryota; Viridiplantae; Streptophyta; Magnoliopsida; Malpighiales; Euphorbiaceae.